Molecule: ribosomal RNA, 1350 nt
Filed under: uncultured bacterium
Lineage: Bacteria
Description: bacterial SSU rRNA
Rfam family: Bacterial small subunit ribosomal RNA
Source: RNAcentral
GACGAACGCUGGCGGCGUGCUUAACACAUGCAAGUCGAACGAUGAAGCCUAGCUUGCUAGGUGGAUUAGUGGCGAACGGGUGAGUAAUACGUGAGUAACCUACCUUUAACUCUGGGAUAAGCCCGGGAAAACUGGGUCUAAUACCGGAUACGACCAAUCUCCGCAUGGGGUGUUGGUGGAAAGCGUUAUGUAGUGGUUAUAGAGGGCUNUCACGGCCUAUCAGCUUGUUGGUGAGGUAACGGCUCACCAAGGCGACGACGGGUAGCCGGCCUGAGAGGGUGACCGGCCACACUGGGACUGAGACACGGCCCAGACUCCUACGGGAGGCAGCAGUGGGGAAUAUUGCACAAUGGGCGCAAGCCUGAUGCAGCGACGCCGCGUGAGGGAUGACGGCCUUCGGGUUGUAAACCUCUGUUAGCAGGGAAGAAGAGAAGAUGACCGGACCUGCAGAGAAAGCGCCGGCUAACUACGUGCCAGCAGCCGCGGUAAUACGUAGGGCGCGAGCGUUGUCCGGAAUUAUUGGGCGUAAAGAGCUUGUAGGCGGUUUGUCGCGUCUGCUGUGAAAGGCCGGGGCUUAACCCCGUGUAUUGCAGUGGGUACGGGCAGACUAGAGUGCAGUAGGGGAGACUGGAAUUCCUGGUGUAGCGGUGGAAUGCGCAGAUAUCAGGAGGAACACCGAUGGCGAAGGCAGGUCUCUGGGCUGUAACUGACGCUGAGAAGCGAAAGCAUGGGGAGCGAACAGGAUUAGAUACCCUGGUAGUCCAUGCCGUAAACGUUGGGCACUAGGUGUGGGGGACAUUCCACGUUUUCCGCGCCGUAGCUAACGCAUUAAGUGCCCCGCCUGGGGAGUACGGCCGCAAGGCUAAAACUCAAAGAAAUUGACGGGGGCCCGCACAAGCGGCGGAGCAUGCGGAUUAAUUCGAUGCAACGCGAAGAACCUUACCAAGGCUUGACAUAUACUGGACCGCAUCAGAGAUGGUGUUUCCCUUCGGGGCUGGUAUACAGGUGGUGCAUGGUUGUCGUCAGCUCGUGUCGUGAGAUGUUGGGUUAAGUCCCGCAACGAGCGCAACCCUCGUUCUAUGUUGCCAGCACGUUAUGGUGGGGACUCAUAGGAGACUGCCGGGGUCAACUCGGAGGAAGGUGGGGAUGACGUCAAAUCAUCAUGCCCCUUAUGUCUUGGGCUUCACGCAUGCUACAAUGGCCGGUACAGAGGGUUGCGAUACUGUGAGGUGGAGCUAGUCCCUAAAAGCCGGUCUCAGUUCGGAUUGGGGUCUGCAACUCGACCCCAUGAAGUCGGAGUCGCUAGUAAUCGCAGAUCAGCAACGCUGCGGUGAAUACGUUCCCGGGCCU